Molecule: long non-coding RNA, 819 nt
Organism: Numida meleagris (helmeted guineafowl)
Lineage: Eukaryota; Metazoa; Chordata; Aves; Galliformes; Numididae
Source: Ensembl
UGGAGCACCCAUGGGUGCCCCCCGACCCCACCUAUUAAACAGGAGCACCCAUGGGUGCCCCUCAAUGCCCAUUCAUUCCACUGGAGCACCCAUGGGUGCCCCCCGACCCCACCUAUGACACAGGAGCACCCAUGGGUGUCCAAUACCUCAUUCAUUCCAUAGAAGCACCCACGGGUGCCCCCAAAUCCCAUUCAUUCCAUUGGAGCACCCAUGGGUGCCCCCAGACUCCAUUCAUUCCAUUGGAGCACCCAUGGGUGCCCCCCGACCCCACCUAUGACACAGGAGCACCCAUGGGUGCCCAAGACCCCACACAUUCCAUAGAAGCACCCAUGGGUGCCCCCAAAUCCCAUUCAUUCCAGUGGAGCACCCAUGGGUGCACCCAAAUCCCAUUCAUUCCAUAGGAGCACCCAUGGGUGCCCCUCAAAGCCCAUUCAUUCCAUUGAGCACCCAUGGGUGCCCCCCGACCCCACCUAUUAAACAGGAGCACCCAUGGGUGUCCAAUACCUCAUUCAUUCCAGUGGAGCACCCAUGGGUGCCCCCCAACCCCACAUAUUAAACAGGAGCACCCAUGGGUGCCCACAAAUCCCAUUCAUUCCAGUGGAGCACCCAUGGGUGCCCCUCAAAGCCCAUUCAUUCAAUUGGAACACCCAUGGGUGCCCCCUGACCCCACUUAUUGCACAGGAGCACCCAUGGGUACCCAAGACCCCCCGCAUUCCAUUGGAACACCCAUGGGUGCCCCCAAACCCCAUUCAUUCCAUAGGAGCACCCAUGGGUGCCCCUCAAUGCCCAUUCAUUCCAUCGAGCACCCAUGGGUGCCCC